UUCGUAGGCGGUGCGGCAAGUCGGGAGUGAAAUCUCUGGGCUUAACCCAGAGGCUGCUUCCGAAACUGCUGUGCUUGAGUGUGGGAGAGGCGCGUGGAAUUGCAGGUGUAGCGGUGAAAUGCGUAGAUAUCUGCAGGAACACCCGUGGCGAAAGCGGCGCGCUGGACCACAACUGACGCUGAGGAACGAAAGCUAGGGGAGCAAACAGGAUUAGAUACCCUGGUAGUCCUAGCCCUAAACGAUCAGGACUUGGGGUGCCGCCCGUUCGGGCGUCGUCCCGGAGCUAACGCGUUAAGUCCUGCACCUGGGGAGUACGGUCGCAAGACUGAA
This 330-nucleotide ribosomal RNA is filed under the name uncultured bacterium. RNAcentral's name for it is "bacterial SSU rRNA". It matches the Rfam family "Bacterial small subunit ribosomal RNA", at positions 568 to 898 of the family's 1533-position model. The record is from RNAcentral.